CCCUCUCUCUACCCUUCACCACUGCUUCUGUACUGAGAGUUACUGGGCUGUGAAAUGUAAAAAACUGCAGCGGCGAAUAUGCAUGCAUGGCAAUCCAUUAUCUUGUCAAACUUGGCUUCCCCGGGCGUCCGGGCUGCAAUCCCUGUGUGAGGGGCAGAGAGAGAGACAGGCAUGCUGCCUCGGCUGUGGCUCUGGCUGUGCUGUGGAUGGCAGGCUGCCUGCAGCAUUUCCUCUAGUGGACAGGAGAAGGGGGAUGGAGGGGGGAUGUGAGGUUGUGUUGGGCCUUCUCUCAGACGGCUGCUGGGAUCUGCUCUGUAGGUCAGCUGGCCGUCUGGGAGAGAGAGAGGGAAGAGAAGCAGGGCUAGACAGAGAAGGGAUGGAAGGAGAGGAGGAUGGAGCAAAGGACAGAGAAGUAGAGAUAGAGGGAAGGAUGUAGCAAAGGGCAGAGAAGUAGAGAUAGAGGGAAGGAUGUAGCAAAGGACAGAGAAGUAGAGAUAGAGGGAAGGAUGGAUGUUAGGACAGAGAGGGAGAGAUAGAGGGAAGGAUGGAUGUUAGGACAGAGAGGUAGAGAAAGAGGGAAGGAUGGAUGUUAGGACAGAGAGGUAGAAAUAGAGGGAGGGAUGGAUGUUAGGACAGAGAGGGAGAGAUAGAGGGAAGGAUGGAUGUUGGGGCAGAGAGGGAGAGAUAGAGGGCAGGAUGGAGGAUAGGACAGAGAAGUAGAGAUAGAGGGAAGGAUGGAGGAUAGGACAGAGAAGUAGAGAUAGAGGGAAGGAUGGAGGAUAGGACAGAGGGAAGGAUGGAGGAUAGGACAGAGAAGGGAUGGAAGGAGAGGAGGAUGGAGGAUAGAACAGAGAGGUAGAGAUAGAGGGCAGGAUGGAGGAUAGGACAGAGAAGGGAUGGAAGGAGAGGAGGAUGGAGGAUAGGACAGAGAGGUAGAGAUAGAGGGAAGGAUGGAGGAUAGGACAGAGAGGUAGAGAUAGAGGGAAGGAUGUAGGAUAGGACAGAGAGGUGGAGAUAGAGGGAAGGAUGGAGGAUAGGACAGAGAAGUAGAGAUAGAGGGAAGAAUGGAGGCUAGGACAGAGGGAAGGAUGGAGGAUAGGACAGAGAAGGGAUGGAAGGAGAGGAGGAUGGAGGAUAGGA
Molecule: long non-coding RNA, 1140 nt
Organism: Oncorhynchus keta (chum salmon)
Lineage: Eukaryota; Metazoa; Chordata; Actinopteri; Salmoniformes; Salmonidae
Exons: 3
Source: RefSeq, a predicted model, not a curated record